This 85-nucleotide transfer RNA is filed under the name Bradyrhizobium sp. RNAcentral describes it as "tRNA-Arg". The record is from RNAcentral. Lineage: Bacteria; Pseudomonadati; Pseudomonadota; Alphaproteobacteria; Hyphomicrobiales; Nitrobacteraceae.
GCAUCAGCUUGGAAGCGGAUCGUCUAGACCGGGCAUUGCGCUCCGAAGGCGAAGGCCACACGUUCGAAUCGUGUCGGGUGCGCCA